UCCAGACUCCUACGGGAGGCAGCAGUGGGGGAUAUUGCACAAUGGGGGGAACCCUGAUGCAGCGACGCCGCGUGGGUGAAGGAGCGUUUCGGCGCGUAAAGCCCUAUCGGCAGGGAAGAAGGAGGACGGUACCUGACUAAGAAGCCCCGGCUAACUACGUGCCAGCAGCCGCGGUAAUACGUAGGGGGCAAGCGUUAUCCGGAUUUACUGGGUGUAAAGGGGGCGCAGACGGCAGCGCAAGCCAGGAGUGAAAGCCCGGGGCCCAACCCCGGGACUGCUCUUGGAACUGCGCGGCUGGAGUGCAGGAGGGGCAGGCGGAAUUCCUGGUGUAGCGGUGAAAUGCGUAGAUAUCAGGAGGAACACCGGUGGCGAAGGCGGCCUGCUGGACUGCAACUGACGUUGAGGCCCGAAAGCGUGGGGAGCAAACAGGAUUAGAUACCCCUGUAC
RNAcentral lists this ribosomal RNA (447 nucleotides) under uncultured bacterium. RNAcentral describes it as "bacterial SSU rRNA". It matches the Rfam family "Bacterial small subunit ribosomal RNA", at positions 330 to 793 of the family's 1533-position model. The record is from RNAcentral.